Molecule: ribosomal RNA, 941 nt
Filed under: gut metagenome
Description: bacterial SSU rRNA
Rfam family: Bacterial small subunit ribosomal RNA
Source: RNAcentral
AGAGUUUGAUCCUGGCUCAGGAUGAACGCUAGCUACAGGCUUAACACAUGCAAGUCGAGGGGCAUCAGGAAGAAAGCUUGCUUUCUUUGCUGGCGACCGGCGCACGGGUGAGUAACACGUAUCCAACCUGCCCUUUACUCGGGGAUAGCCUUUCGAAAGAAAGAUUAAUACCCGAUAGCAUAAUGAUUCCGCAUGGUUUCAUUAUUAAAGGAUUCCGGUAAAGGAUGGGGAUGCGUUCCAUUAGGUUGUUGGUGAGGUAACGGCUCACCAAGCCUUCGAUGGAUAGGGGUUCUGAGAGGAAGGUCCCCCACAUUGGAACUGAGACACGGUCCAAACUCCUACGGGAGGCAGCAGUGAGGAAUAUUGGUCAAUGGGCGCUAGCCUGAACCAGCCAAGUAGCGUGAAGGAUGAAGGCUCUAUGGGUCGUAAACUUCUUUUAUAUAAGAAUAAAGUGCAGUAUGUAUACUGUUUUGUAUGUAUUAUAUGAAUAAGGAUCGGCUAACUCCGUGCCAGCAGCCGCGGUAAUACGGAGGAUCCGAGCGUUAUCCGGAUUUAUUGGGUUUAAAGGGAGCGUAGGUGGACUGGUAAGUCAGUUGUGAAAGUUUGCGGCUCAACCGUAAAAUUGCAGUUGAUACUGUCAGUCUUGAGUACAGUAGAGGUGGGCGGAAUUCGUGGUGUAGCGGUGAAAUGCUUAGAUAUCACGAAGAACUCCGAUUGCGAAGGCAGCUCACUGGACUGCAACUGACACUGAUGCUCGAAAGUGUGGGUAUCAAACAGGAUUAGAUACCCUGGUAGUCCACACAGUAAACGAUGAAUACUCGCUGUUUGCGAUAUACAGUAAGCGGCCAAGCGAAAGCAUUAAGUAUUCCACCUGGGGAGUACGCCGGCAACGGUGAAACUCAAAGGAAUUGACGGGGGCCCGCACAAGCGGAGGAACAUGU